RNAcentral lists this ribosomal RNA (505 nucleotides) under uncultured bacterium. RNAcentral's name for it is "partial 16S ribosomal RNA". It matches the Rfam family "Bacterial small subunit ribosomal RNA", at positions 28 to 507 of the family's 1533-position model. The record is from RNAcentral.
GACGAACGCUGGCGGCGUGCCUAAUACAUGCAAGUAGAACGCACAGUUUAUACCGUAGCUUGCUACACCAUAGACUGUGAGUUGCGAACGGGUGAGUAACGCGUAGGUAACCUGCCUGGUAGCGGGGGAUAACUAUUGGAAACGAUAGCUAAUACCGCAUAAUAUUGAUUAUUGCAUGAUAAUUGAUUGAAAGAUGCUAUUGCAUCACUUCCAGAUGGACCUGCGUUGUAUUAGCUAGUAGGUGAGGUAACGGCUCACCUAGGCGACGAUACAUAGCCGACCUGAGAGGGUGAUCGGCCACACUGGGACUGAGACACGGCCCAGACUCCUACGGGAGGCAGCAGUAGGGAAUCUUCGGCAAUGGACGAAAGUCUGACCGAGCAACGCCGCGUGAGUGAAGAAGGUUUUCGGAUCGUAAAGCUCUGUUGUAAGAGAAGAACGGGUGUGAGAGUGGAAAGUUCACACUGUGACGGUAUCUUACCAGAAAGGGACGGCUAACUACGUG